AGUGAACGCUGGCGGUAGGCCUAACACAUGCAAGUCGAACGGCAGCACAGUAAGUGCUUGCUCUUACGGGUGGCGAGUGGCGGACGGGUGAGGAAUAUAUCCGAAUCUUCUUUUUCGGGGGGGUUAACGUAGGUAGACUUACGCUAAUACCGCAUACGACCUACCGGUGAAAGCAGGGGAUAUUCGGACCUUUCGCGGUUGAAUGCGCCGAUGUGGGGUUUGUUAGUUGGCGGGGUGAAGGCCCACCCUGUCGACGAUCCGUGGCUGGUGUGGGUGGAUGGUCGGCCACACUGGAACUGAGACACGCACCAGAGUCCUACGGGAGGGAGCAGUGGGGAAUAGUGGACAAUGGGGGCAAGCCUGAUACAGCCAGACCGCGUGGGUGGAGAAGGCGUUCGGGUUGUAAAGCCCGUUUUCUGGGUAAGAAAAGCAUCAGCUUAAUACCACGCUGUUGUGACGGUACCGAAUAAAGAAGCACCGGCUAACUUCGUG
RNAcentral lists this ribosomal RNA (492 nucleotides) under uncultured bacterium. Its description in RNAcentral is "partial 16S ribosomal RNA". It matches the Rfam family "Bacterial small subunit ribosomal RNA", at positions 29 to 507 of the family's 1533-position model. The record is from RNAcentral.